GGCAUUACAUGAGAUAAGCUGUU
RNAcentral lists this microRNA (23 nucleotides) under Panagrellus redivivus. RNAcentral's name for it is "prd-miR-7913-5p". The record is from miRBase by way of RNAcentral. Lineage: Eukaryota; Metazoa; Nematoda; Chromadorea; Rhabditida; Panagrolaimidae.